UAGAUGGGAUCAACGACGGAAAGGUAGCGAAGCCGAUGCCAGGCGCGAAAGAUGCGAGGAGGGAGAGAAUGAAGAUGAAAAAGUUGUUGAGAAGGUGAGUCUAGGAGACAUUGAAGAGAGAAAGAGAGAGAGAGAGAGAGAGAGAGAGAGAGAUGGGAGAGGGUAAGAGGGAGUCCAGGAGUAGGUGGGGGAAGAUGUAAAUUGUUUGUAAAGAGGAAUGUGAGGAAGCAUGCGGUGGGUCCAACAUAUGCUUUGCAAAUAUGAAGACACUGUAGCGGGCCCCACAUAGAGUUAAUGCGGAGAGCGUUUCAAGCUGCCAAAUUAUAAGUUUAUUCUUAUGCUAAAUAACAGAAAACUCCCUAUCAAUAUCCGCUUUUUCACUUUCUCCUGCUGUCAUUCAAAAAUCUAUACUUUGCCCCCUUAAAAAAUAAAAAAAUAUUGACUUUGACCCCCACCGUCAGUAUUCCGUUAGAAUUCCAUUUAUAUCCUAUUUUUUACACCCAAAAUAUCACUGAAACCCUUCUCCUUCCUCAUCCUCAGUGGCGCCGCCUCACCCUUGCCCACCUCUCUGUCCAUACCCACACACACGCCUUGGCCCACCUCCGCCGCCUUGCCCUCGCCCUCACCCUCGCCCACCUCUCCGUCCACGCUCACCCCAAA
Molecule: long non-coding RNA, 660 nt
Filed under: Ananas comosus (pineapple)
Lineage: Eukaryota; Viridiplantae; Streptophyta; Magnoliopsida; Poales; Bromeliaceae
Description: long non-coding RNA (ACOM_LNC029169)
Source: RNAcentral